Molecule: ribosomal RNA, 274 nt
Filed under: uncultured bacterium
Lineage: Bacteria
Description: partial 16S ribosomal RNA
Rfam family: Bacterial small subunit ribosomal RNA
Source: RNAcentral
GUACGGAGGGUGCAAGCGUUACUCGGAAUCACUGGGCGUAAAGCGCGCGCAGGCGGCUUGAUAAGUUGGAUGUGAAAGCCUACGGCUCAACCGUAGAACUGCAUCCAAAACUGUCAAGCCAGAGUCUGGGAGGGGAAGAUGGAAUUAGUUGUGUAGGGGUAAAAUCCGUAGAGAUAACUAGGAAUACCAAAAGCGAAGGCGAUCUUCUGGAACAGUACUGACGCUGAGGCGCGAAAGCGUGGGGAGCAAACAGGAUUAGAUACCCCAGUAGUCC